ACUCUUUUAGUAUAACCAGUACAAUUGACUUCCAAUCAAUCGGUUUUGACAACAUUCAAAAAAGAGUA
This 68-nucleotide transfer RNA is filed under the name Macaca nigra (Celebes crested macaque). RNAcentral describes it as "tRNA-Gly". Lineage: Eukaryota; Metazoa; Chordata; Mammalia; Primates; Cercopithecidae. The record is from RNAcentral.